This 370-nucleotide unclassified non-coding RNA is filed under the name Hevea brasiliensis (rubber tree). Lineage: Eukaryota; Viridiplantae; Streptophyta; Magnoliopsida; Malpighiales; Euphorbiaceae. The record is from RNAcentral.
GAAAGCUUCAGAAACAAGAAAAAUGCAGUCUAGUUUGUUGGAUGGGCCCUAAGGUUGUUUUGAAGUGCAGACUUGUAUGAGAUAGUCAUUGAUUUUUCCUUUUUUUGCUUUAGAUUCCAUUAUUUUCCUUCCAGGAUGGAAUCACUGAUGCUGUAUGCGAGAAGAGAGUAAUUGUUAUCUCUCGUCUCACCAUCUAGCUUUUACCAACUGACUUUUGCUGUUAUGACUGUUAAUAUAUUUUGCUGUAGACAUUGUCAGGUGGAGAGCCGUGGAUACGAAGUUUUUUGGUUGUCACUGUUGAAAGUGCUCCAUGUCAAGAGCAAUAUAUUAUAUAAUUUUAUCUCCAGAUGAUACAUAAUAUUACAAAGAC